Molecule: ribosomal RNA, 253 nt
Filed under: uncultured bacterium
Lineage: Bacteria
Description: partial 16S ribosomal RNA
Rfam family: Bacterial small subunit ribosomal RNA
Source: RNAcentral
UACGGGGGGGGCAAGCGUUGUUCGGAAUUACUGGGCGUAAAGGGCUCGUAGGUGGCCAACUAAGUCAGACGUGAAAUCCCUCGGCUUAACCGGGGAACUGCAUCUGAUACUGGAUGGCUUGAAUUCGGGAGAGGGAUGCAGAAUUCCAGGUGUAGCGGUGAAAUGCGUAGAUAUCUGGAGGAACACCGGUGGCGAAGGCGGCAUCCUGGACCGGCAUUGACGCUGAGGAGCGAAAGCCAGGGGAGCAAACGGG